This 29-nucleotide non-coding RNA is filed under the name Rattus norvegicus (Norway rat). The record is from RNAcentral. Lineage: Eukaryota; Metazoa; Chordata; Mammalia; Rodentia; Muridae.
UGCAGCACAUGGCUCUUGGCUUUUGGGUG